ACGAACGCUGGCGGCGUGCCUAACACAUGCAAGUCGAGCGAGGAGAUCCUUCGGGAUGAUCCUAGCGGCGGACGGGUGAGUAACACGUGGGCAACCUGCCUCAUAGAGAGGAAUAGCCUUCCGAAAGGGAGAUUAAUACCUCAUAACAUUGCAGUUUCGCAUGAAACAGCAAUUAAAGGAGCAAUCCGCUAUGAGAUGGGCCCGCGGCGCAUUAGCUAGUUGGUGAGGUAACGGCUCACCAAGGCGACGAUGCGUAGCCGACCUGAGAGGGUGAUCGGCCACAUUGGGACUGAGACACGGCCCAGACUCCUACGGGAGGCAGCAGUGGGGAAUAUUGCACAAUGGGGGAAACCCUGAUGCAAGCAACGCCGCGUGAGUGAUGACGGCCUUCGGGUUGUAAAGCUCUGUCUUCAGGGACGAUAAUGACGGUACCUGAGGAGGAAGCCACGGCUAACUACGUGCCAGCCGCAGC
This 472-nucleotide ribosomal RNA is filed under the name uncultured bacterium. Its description in RNAcentral is "bacterial SSU rRNA". It matches the Rfam family "Bacterial small subunit ribosomal RNA", at positions 29 to 518 of the family's 1533-position model. The record is from RNAcentral.